RNAcentral lists this long non-coding RNA (483 nucleotides) under Mytilus galloprovincialis (Mediterranean mussel). The record is from RNAcentral. Lineage: Eukaryota; Metazoa; Mollusca; Bivalvia; Mytilida; Mytilidae.
AAUUGUGUACUUAUCUUAUAUAGAAAAUGAUAACUGAGGCAUACAUUAACAUUCUAUAUGUUUAUCACCAACCACCCAUUUUGUUAGCCACCUGUUAUAUCAAUAAAAAUACUAUGCAAAAGUUACAAUUACUCAGAAUUGGUCAGAAGGCAUGUAUUAUUAUUAUUUGUAAAUAUUUUGAACAAAUAAGAAAACAAAAAUUAAGUCAAUUUUAAUAAUUUAGACGAAGAAGAAGCGGCAUUAUACACAUUUAAAAAGAUUAAAAAAAAAACCAGAACAACAAACGUCUAUCUAGUCGACGACCAUAAACUUUAUGGAAACAGAGCUGGCAAUUUGAAAUUUAUUGUAACCUUAUGUUCAUUAAGUACAGUUGCCAACGAACAAACAAUAAAUGCUUUAAAGGGUGUUUAAUGAAACAAUUAUUUUAUAUUUUUUUUAAUAUUGUAAUUAUAAUUUAUAAAAAAAAGGCUUCCUAAAAAGGUC